This 440-nucleotide ribosomal RNA is filed under the name uncultured bacterium. Its description in RNAcentral is "partial 16S ribosomal RNA". It matches the Rfam family "Bacterial small subunit ribosomal RNA", at positions 338 to 795 of the family's 1533-position model. The record is from RNAcentral.
CCUACGGGAGGCAGCAGUGGGGAAUAUUGCACAAUGGGGGAAACCCUGAUGCAGCGACGCCGCGUGAGUGAAGAAGUAAUUCGUUAUGUAAAGCUCUAUCAGCAGGGAAGAACAUGCCGGUACCUGAGUAAGCAGCCCCGGCCAACUACGUGCCAGCAGCCGCGGUAAUACUUAGGGGGCACGCGUUAUCCGGAUUUACUGGGUGUAACGGUAGCGUAGACGGCUGUGCAAGUCUGGAGUGAAAGGCGACGGCUCAACCUCCGGAGUGCACUGGAAACUGUACGACUGGAGUGCAGUAGAGGAAAGUGGAAUUCCAAGUGUAGCGGUGAAAUGCGUAGAGAUUAGGAGGAACACCAGUGGCGAAGGCGGCUUACUGGUCUGUAACUGACGCUGAGGCGCGAAAGCGUGGGGAGCAAACAGGAUUAGAUACCCCAGUAGUC